GCGGAUUUACCCAAGUGGUGAAGGGGCUCCCCUGCUAAGGGAGUAGGUCUCGAAAGGGGCGCGAGAGUUCAAAUCUCUCAAUCCGCGCCA
This 90-nucleotide transfer RNA is filed under the name Ruminococcus flavefaciens. It matches the Rfam family "tRNA". From Rfam's summary of the family: Transfer RNA (tRNA) molecules are approximately 80 nucleotides in length. Their secondary structure includes four short double-helical elements and three loops (D, anti-codon, and T loops). Lineage: Bacteria; Bacillati; Bacillota; Clostridia; Eubacteriales; Oscillospiraceae. The record is from RNAcentral. RNAcentral also lists the same sequence under 5 other names.